UCUGGUGGUUCAAGCGAGGGGGUCACACCUGAUCCCAUCCCGAACUCAGAAGUUAAGCCCUUCUGCACCGAUGAUACUUGGGUAUUAAGCCCUGGGAAAGUAGGUCACCGCCAGAA
RNAcentral lists this ribosomal RNA (116 nucleotides) under Candidatus Falkowbacteria bacterium CG_4_10_14_0_2_um_filter_36_22. RNAcentral also lists the same sequence under 3 other names. Lineage: Bacteria; Candidatus Falkowiibacteriota. The record is from RNAcentral.